GAUGAACGCUGGCGGCGUGCCUAAUACAUGCAAGUCGAGCGAACGGACGAGAAGCUUGCUUCUCUGAUGUUAGCGGCGGACGGGUGAGUAACACGUGGAUAACCUACCUAUAAGACUGGGAUAACUUCGGGAAACCGUAGCUAAUACCGGAUAAUAUUUUGAACCGCAUGGUUCAAAAGUGAAAGACGGUCUUGCUGUCACUUAUAGAUGGAUCCGCGCUGCAUUAGCUAGUUGGUAAGGUAACGGCUUACCAAGGCAACGAUGCAUAGCCGACCUGAGAGGGUGAUCGGCCACACUGGAACUGAGACACGGUCCAGACGCCUACGGGAGGCAGCAGUAGGGAAUCUUCCGCAAAGGGCGAAAGCCUGACGGAGCAACGCCGCGUGAGUGAUGAAGGUCUUCGGAUCGUAAAACUCUGUUAUUAGGGAAGAACAGAUGUGUAAGUAACUGUGCACAUCUUGACGGUACCUAAUCAGAAAGCCACGGCUAACUACGUG
This 497-nucleotide ribosomal RNA is filed under the name uncultured bacterium. RNAcentral describes it as "partial 16S ribosomal RNA". It matches the Rfam family "Bacterial small subunit ribosomal RNA", at positions 28 to 507 of the family's 1533-position model. The record is from RNAcentral.